RNAcentral lists this long non-coding RNA (254 nucleotides) under Lathyrus oleraceus (garden pea). RNAcentral describes it as "Pisum sativum (pea) long non-coding RNA (PSAT_LNC008135)". The record is from RNAcentral. Lineage: Eukaryota; Viridiplantae; Streptophyta; Magnoliopsida; Fabales; Fabaceae.
AAGUGGUUUAAGCUUUAAAGAAGCUAACUUUUCAAUGGAUGAUUUGUUUCAGGUGGUCGAAAUGUUGAGAGUUUCAUCUGUAAGAACAUGGCAAAUAGGGGUGUCUAUGGAAGAGUCGGAGGUAAUAUUAACCUGCAAGGCAACUUCUAUCUCAGCACAAACAGAAUAAAUAUGAGUGUCAGUACAUGUAUCACAAGUGUAAGUAUCAUCAAAAUCAAACAAAGAAGAAAAUCAGCAAAAGGUGAAUCAGGUGC